Acanthosepion pharaonis is the source of this 110-nucleotide non-coding RNA. NCBI's taxonomy places the organism in Eukaryota, Metazoa, Mollusca, Cephalopoda, Sepiida, Sepiidae. The record is from the annotation of a GenBank genome assembly.
UUACGGCCACCCCACGCUGAAAGACCAGCUCUCGUACGAUCACCGGUUAAGCAAAGUCAAGCCUGAUCAGUACCUAGAUGGGUGACCGCUUGGGAAUAUCACUUGCUGUA